RNAcentral lists this ribosomal RNA (2691 nucleotides) under Triticum aestivum (bread wheat). Its description in RNAcentral is "partial small subunit ribosomal RNA". Lineage: Eukaryota; Viridiplantae; Streptophyta; Magnoliopsida; Poales; Poaceae. The record is from RNAcentral.
AUGGCGGCCAAUAAUAGCGGCAGCGAGCCCCGCAUCCCCGAGGACGUGACGCUCGAGGAGGAGGCGGAGGCGGAGGCCAAGGGGAAGGCGCCGGCGGCCUCGUCGGCCACCACCACCACCAUGAACCGCUCCGGCUCGCGCCCGCAGCUCGACCUCAGCGGCGCCGCCAUCCACGGCACCCUCGAGGACCGCAACCCCACCAUCCUGCUGCCCAACCAGUCCGACGACAUCUCCCACCUCGCCCUCGACAUCGGCGGCUCUCUUAUAAAGUUGGUGUACUUCUCACGGCAUGCGGAUCAGCCCACCGAGGAUAAACGCAAGCUAUCCACCAAGAGAAGGCUUGAGAUAUUUACCGGUGCCAGGAGGAGUUACCCGGUUCUUGGAGGGAGGCUCCAUUUUGUCAAGUUUGAGACUGGGAAGCUAAACGAAUGCUUGGACUUUAUUUCUUCCAAACAACUACACCGGGGUGGAGUUGAUUCACCUUCAUGGCGCUCAGGAGCUCAGCCUGAUAACAUUGUAAUCAAGGCAACAGGUGGUGGAGCAUUCAAGUAUGCUGAUCUUUUUAAGGAAAGAUUGGGAGUCAGUCUUGAGAAGGAAGAUGAAAUGGACUGUCUUGUAGCUGGAGCAAAUUUUCUGCUUAAGGCUAUACGCCAUGAAGCCUUUACACACAUGGAUGGCCAAAAGGAGUACGUGCAAAUUGAUCAGAACGAUCUGUUUCCUUACCUUCUAGUUAAUGUUGGAUCUGGUGUCAGCAUAAUCAAGGUUGAUGGGCAUGGGAAGUUUCAACGAGUAAGUGGAACAAACGUUGGUGGCGGUACAUACUGGGGAUUGGGGAGGUUAAUGACAGAGUGCAAGAGUUUUGACGAGUUACUAGAGCUGAGCCAACGUGGAGACAACAGCACCAUUGACAUGCUUGUAGGAGAUAUAUAUGGUGGUCUGGACUACUCCAAGAUUGGCCUUUCGGCGUCAACAAUUGCCUCUAGCUUUGGGAAGACAAUUUCAGAUAACAAGGAGCUAUCUGAUUAUAGACCCGAGGAUAUUUCACUCUCCCUCUUACGGAUGAUUUCAUAUAAUAUUGGCCAGAUCUCCUAUCUUAAUGCACUUCGAUAUGGACUCAAGAGGAUAUUUUUUGGUGGAUUCUUCAUUCGUGGCCAUGCUUACACCAUGGACACCAUUUCUUUUGCAGUACAUUUCUGGUCAAAAGGAGAAGCAAAAGCCAUGUUUCUGCGUCAUGAGGGUUUUCUAGGAGCACUUGGCGCGUUUAUGAGUUACGAGAAGCAUGGUCUUGAUGACUUGAGUGCACAUCACUUGGUUGAGCGUUUUCCAAUGGGUGCUCCAUAUGUUGGUGGGAAGAUUCACGGGCCUCCUCUGGGGGAUCUCAACGAGAAGAUAUCAUGGAUGGAGAAGUUUGUGCAGAAGGGUACUCAGAUUACAGCACCUGUACCCAUGGGAGCUCCUGCUACGACAGGCAUGGGAGGUUUUGAAAGGCCUACUUCCAAGGGUGACAUUUUGCGGUCUGAUGCAAGUGCAGCUCUAAAUGUUGGUGUUCUCCAUCUUGUACCCUCAUUGGAUGUCUUCCCAUUGUUGGAAGACCCAAAGACGUAUGAACCAAACACAAUCGAUCUCGACCAUGACGAAUUCAAGUACUGGUUCACCAUUUUGUCAGAUCAUCUGCCAGAUCUUGUGGAGAAGGCGGUUGCCAGUGAAGGUGGGACUGAUGACGCGAAACGGCGGGGAGAUGCGUUUGCGCAUGCCUUUUCUGCUCAUUUGGCAAGGUUGACUGAGGAGCCUGCUGCUUAUGGGAAGUUCGGUUUAGCCAACCUGUUGGAGUUGAGAGAAGAAUGUUUGAGAGAAUUUCAAUUUUUCGAUGCAUAUGUUAGUAUCAAGCAAAGGGAAAAUGAAGCUUCACUGGCUGUUUUACCUGAUCUACUCAUGGAACUUGAUAGUAUGGAUGAGGAAGAUAGAUUGCUUGCGCUAAUUGAAGGUGUUCUUGCUGCGAACAUAUUUGAUUGGGGGUCUAAAGCUUGCGUGGACCUUUACAACCAAGGAACUAUAAUAGAAAUUUAUCGCAUGAGCCGCAAGAAGAUGCAACGUCCUUGGCGGAUUGAUGACUUUGAUACGUUCAAAAGCAGAAUGCUUAAGAAAGAUCAGCCAUACAAAAGAGCACUUAUUUCGGUUGAUAAUGCAGGUGCUGAUGUGGUCCUUGGAAUGCUUCCUUUAGCACGAGAAUUUCUACGCCGUGGAGUUGAGGUAGUUCUGGUUGCAAAUUCGUUGCCGGCUUUGAACGAUAUUACGGCUAAUGAACUUCCAGAAAUUGUAGCUGAAGCUGCAAAGCACUGUGGUAUCCUUCGGAAAGCUGCAGAAGCAGGCGGACUGAUAGUCGAUGCUAUGGCUGGCAUCCAAGGUGAUACCAAGGAUGAACCGGCGUCGGUGCCACUAAUGGUCGUGGAGAAUGGAUGUGGCAGUCCAUGCAUUGACUUCCGGCAGGUUAGCUCGGAGCUUGCAGCUGCUGCCAAGGACGCUGAUCUGUUGAUCUUAGAGGGCAUGGGGCGGUCACUGCAUACCAACCUGAAUGCCCGUUUCAAGUGUGACGCUCUGAAGCUUGCGAUGGUGAAGAACCAGAGGUUGGCAGAGAAGCUUUUCAACGGAAACAUAUACGACUGCAUCUGCAAAUUUGAACCUGUUUCGUGA